AGAGCGAACGCUGGCGGCGUGCUUAACACAUGCAAGCCGAGUGCGCAGUUCUCUGUAGCAAUACAGAAAACCGGCGCACGGCGCACGGGUGAGUAACACGUGGGCAACCUGCCCUCCAAUGGGGGAUACCCCCGCGAAAGCGGGACUAAUACCGCAUGACAUUCCGGUGGCUUCGGCCGCUGGAUUCAAAGGUCGAAAGGCCGUUGGAGGAGGGGCCCGCGCCCGAUUAGCUUGUUGGCGAGGUAACGGCUCACCAAGGCUUUGAUCGGUAGC
This 273-nucleotide ribosomal RNA is filed under the name uncultured soil bacterium. RNAcentral describes it as "partial 16S ribosomal RNA". It matches the Rfam family "Bacterial small subunit ribosomal RNA", at positions 26 to 287 of the family's 1533-position model. The record is from RNAcentral.